UACGGGGGGGGCAAGCGUUGUUCGGAAUUACUGGGCGUAAAGGGCUGGUAGGCGGCCAACUAAGUCGGAUGUGAAAUCCCCAGGCUUAACCUGGGAACUGCAUCCGAUACUGGAUGGCUUGAAUCCGGGAGAGGGAUGCAGAAUUCCAGGUGUAGCGGUGAAAUGCGUAGAUAUCUGGAGGAAUACCGGUGGCGAAGGCGGCAUCCUGGACCGGCAUUGACGCUGAGGAGCGAAAGCGUGGGGAGCGAACAGG
This 253-nucleotide ribosomal RNA is filed under the name uncultured bacterium. Its description in RNAcentral is "partial 16S ribosomal RNA". It matches the Rfam family "Bacterial small subunit ribosomal RNA", at positions 524 to 776 of the family's 1533-position model. The record is from RNAcentral.